RNAcentral lists this transfer RNA (76 nucleotides) under Escherichia coli. RNAcentral describes it as "tRNA-Lys". It matches the Rfam family "tRNA". From Rfam's summary of the family: Transfer RNA (tRNA) molecules are approximately 80 nucleotides in length. The record is from RNAcentral. RNAcentral also lists the same sequence under 15 other names. Lineage: Bacteria; Pseudomonadati; Pseudomonadota; Gammaproteobacteria; Enterobacterales; Enterobacteriaceae.
GGGUCGUUAGCUCAGUUGGUAGAGCAGUUGACUUUUAAUCAAUUGGUCGCAGGUUCGAAUCCUGCAUGACCCACCA